UACGAAGGGGGCUAGCGUUGUUCGGAUUUACUGGGCGUAAAGCGCACGUAGGCGGAUUGUUAAGUGAGGGGUGAAAUCCUGGAGCUCAACUCCAGAACUGCCUUUCAUACUGGCAAUCUAGAGUCCGGAAGAGGUAAGUGGAACUCCUAGUGUAGAGGUGGAAUUCGUAGAUAUUAGGAAGAACACCAGUGGCGAAGGCGGCUACUGGUCCGGUACUGACGCUGAGGUGCGAAAGCGUGGGGAGCAACAGG
RNAcentral lists this ribosomal RNA (251 nucleotides) under uncultured bacterium. Its description in RNAcentral is "partial 16S ribosomal RNA". It matches the Rfam family "Bacterial small subunit ribosomal RNA", at positions 524 to 775 of the family's 1533-position model. The record is from RNAcentral.